RNAcentral lists this ribosomal RNA (277 nucleotides) under uncultured Streptococcus sp. RNAcentral describes it as "partial 16S ribosomal RNA". It matches the Rfam family "Bacterial small subunit ribosomal RNA", at positions 1105 to 1382 of the family's 1533-position model. Lineage: Bacteria; Bacillati; Bacillota; Bacilli; Lactobacillales; Streptococcaceae. The record is from RNAcentral.
UACUUGUUAGUUGCCAUCAUUCAGUUGGGCACUCUAGCGAGACUGCCGGUAAUAAACCGGAGGAAGGUGGGGAGUGACGUCAAAUCAUCAUGCCCCUUAUGACCUGGGCUACACACGUGCUACAAUGGUUGGUACAACGAGUUGCGAGUCGGUGACGGCGAGCUAAUCUCUUAAAGCCAAUCUCAGUUCGGAUUGUAGGCUGCAACUCGCCUACAUGAAGUCGGAAUCGCUAGUAAUCGCGGAUCAGCACGCCGCGGUGAAUACGUUCCCGGGCCUU